AUACGGAGGGCGCAAGCGUUGCCCGGAAUCACUGGGUGUAAAGGGUGCGUAGGCGGGGCUGUAAGUCAGAGGUGAAAGCCCUCGGCCCAACCGGGGAAUUGCCUCUGAUACUGCAGCUCUUGAGUCCCGGAGAGGCCGCUGGAAUUCCUGGUGUAGCGGUGAAAUGCGUAGAUAUCAGGAGGAACACCGGAGGCGAAGGCGGGCGGCUGGACGGGGACUGACGCUGAGGCACGAAAGCGUGGGGAGCAAACAGGAUUAGAAACCCUAGUAGUCC
RNAcentral lists this ribosomal RNA (274 nucleotides) under uncultured bacterium. RNAcentral's name for it is "partial 16S ribosomal RNA". It matches the Rfam family "Bacterial small subunit ribosomal RNA", at positions 523 to 796 of the family's 1533-position model. The record is from RNAcentral.